This 22-nucleotide microRNA is filed under the name Lotus japonicus. RNAcentral describes it as "lja-miR11090d-3p". Lineage: Eukaryota; Viridiplantae; Streptophyta; Magnoliopsida; Fabales; Fabaceae. The record is from miRBase by way of RNAcentral.
GCGUCGAUAUCUCUUAGUGUUU